Scophthalmus maximus (turbot) is the source of this 1218-nucleotide RNA transcript. RefSeq lists it as uncharacterized. The record is from RefSeq and is a predicted model, not a curated record. The transcript is spliced from 5 exons. Lineage: Eukaryota; Metazoa; Chordata; Actinopteri; Pleuronectiformes; Scophthalmidae.
CCGAGCGUUGCUUCUGGUCAGAAUUCACCGUCGUCUGGGUUAUGUUUUGAGCUUCCACUCGUUCGGGCAUCGCUACUUAAAUAUGCUCACGCUCAUGUGAGCAUUUCCACAGAUUGAGUGAACCCGCCAAAACCGGUCGUUCCGGAUGACGUCUGCUCAAGUGAGAAGCGGGUGUGUUUGUGCGUCGCCCAGUUUGUCAUCGAUUUUGGGCGUCGGAGGAAGAUAAGCUCCACUUCUGAGGUUUUUCUUGCGCUGGCAGAUCAACCGCUUUGCCGCCUCGCCCCCGUGGACGCAGGGAAAUCAGACCCAGCUGGACCGCACCCCUGCCGCCGCCGCCGCCGCCGCCGCCCCGCUGUCGCCACCAAGACUGCGAUUCUGCAACACUCACCUCGGGAAAAUACAGCGAACGUGUGAUCAUUUGAAGCGACACCUCGUCGAGAACCCGUCACCAGCCACAUACGAGGAGGCUCGGCGAGGCUCCACCCAGCCACCGGUGUCCUCGACCGGGGCAGGACGUCUCCCUCUCUUUGGAGUUCACCUGUAAUCUGCUAAAGUAGAGGUGGUCAGCACCUGCUUUGCCAGUGGUCAGGCCAGGUGCAAACCCAGGUGCUCAAGGCUGCCACCGCUGACGACUGGCAGACGAUCUGAGGACAUUGAAACUCGAGACGCUCGGCGCCCCACUUUGGUACAAGUCGCUCGACUUUGCUCCAGAAACGGCGGCGGCCAGCGCCACGGGACAGAAGAGAGAGAGAAGAGCUUCCACUCCUCGGGCCGGACGAAUCCGCGAGGCCCCGGGUCGGUUCCGCUGUGUAAACACGCCUCUGGCCUCGGAAAGUCCGACCGCCCUUCGCACCGCACGUCCAGUUCAGCUGAUGUAAAACUCUCUGGUAUUGUAGAAUUUAGACAUUUCUUUUCUAGUUGACGUGAAGGGAGGAAAGGAUGAAAUGGAAACAGAGAUAUAGAAGAAGAAAGGGGGGACACGUGGGAACAGUAUUGGCGGUGGUGAAUUCGGAAAGUGAGUCAGGGGUCGAGGACAUUUGUCUUUCUUAUUUCUUCCUUUUAUUCUUUAUUUGGAACAAAUGAACAUAAAGCAGGAGGAAGCCAAAGCUGAUUUAUUCACACCCGUUAUUCAACUGCUCUUAAUUUCUGUCCAACAUUAGCAGCUAUAAAAACCUAUUUACACCAAAUUAUACCAAAUUAUUUACAUUCAUACCAUAA